This 329-nucleotide ribosomal RNA is filed under the name uncultured bacterium. Its description in RNAcentral is "bacterial SSU rRNA". It matches the Rfam family "Bacterial small subunit ribosomal RNA", at positions 28 to 334 of the family's 1533-position model. The record is from RNAcentral.
GAUGAACGCUGGCGGCGUGCUUAACACAUGCAAGUCGAACGAAGCGCUUAAGCUGAUUUCUUCGGAUUGAUUCUUGAGUGACUGAGUGGCGGACGGGUGAGUAACGCGUGGGUAACCUGCCUCAUACAGGGGGAUAACAGUCAGAAAUGGCUGCUAAUACCGCAUAGGCAUACAUGACGCAUGUCGAGUAUGUUAAAUAUCCCACGGGAUAGCACAGGGAUGGGCUUAUGACGCAUUAGCUAGCUGGUGAGGUAGAGGCUCACCAGGGCGACGAUGCGUAGCCGGCCUGAGAGGGUGGACGGCCACACUGGGACUGAGACACGGCCCAG